RNAcentral lists this ribosomal RNA (478 nucleotides) under uncultured bacterium. RNAcentral's name for it is "partial 16S ribosomal RNA". It matches the Rfam family "Bacterial small subunit ribosomal RNA", at positions 38 to 536 of the family's 1533-position model. The record is from RNAcentral.
GCUGGCGGCGUGCCUAACACAUGCAAGUCGCACGAGAAAGUGGAGCAAUCCAUGAGUAAAGUGGCGUACGGGUGAGUAACACGUGACUACCUACCCUCGAGUGGGGAAUAACCCCGGGAAACCGGGGCUAAUACCGCAUAACAUCGCGAGAUCAAAGCAGCAAUGCGCUUGAGGAGGGGGUCGCGGCUGAUUAGCUAGUUGGCAGGGUAACGGCCUACCAAGGCGAUGAUCAGUAGCCGGCCUGGGAGGGCGCACGGCCACACUGGAACUGAAACACGGUCCAGACUCCUACGGGAGGCAGCAGUGGGGAAUUUUGCGCAAUGGGGGAAACCCUGACGCAGCAACGCCGCGUGGAGGAUGAAGUCCCUUGGGACGUAAACUCCUUUCGAUCGGGACGAUAAUGACGGUACCGGAAGAAGAAGCCCCGGCUAACUUCGGUUGGGCCCCCAAAAGGGGCCCAAAAAAGGGCCCCCCCCCC